AGCGUCGACCUCCACCCCCUCCCCCUUUCCCUUUUGCCUUUCCGGUCACCUGAAGCCAGUGCCAUUCCCAUCGCCUCCCGCUGCCGUUCCCGUGUCGCUCUCUUUCCCCCUCACCUUUGUUGUCUUAGGCUAGCGUAGCUAGCGCGGCUGUCGCAGGAAGCUGCGAUCGUAGCACCCUCAGCCCCUCCUCCCGCAUUUUCAGACAGAUCAACGGCAAGGAGCUCCAUUCACACCACCUGGACCUCGCCUCUAGUCCCUACCGUUACAACCAUCCGACCCAUUUCAUGCUCUUGGCCUACUUCUCGCACGACAGAAAGAGAGAGGGAGACAGAGAGGUUGCGAUGAUCAAAUCCGGCCACCUCGAAUGAUUCCGGUGACUGACACCAACAAGGAAGUAGGUUUUUCCUUUAAUCCGAUUUAGGCUAUGCUUCUUCGGCGCAGGGCAAUAAAGAAAUUUUUCUAGUUUCAUAAUUUUUUGCUAUGUAAUCAUGUGUAUAAAAGCUAUGUAUACUAAGAGUUAGUGACUCCGCAGUUGUAGGAUUUACAUAUUUUUAGUCGUGUAUUAA
Jatropha curcas is the source of this 566-nucleotide non-coding RNA. NCBI's taxonomy places the organism in Eukaryota, Viridiplantae, Streptophyta, Magnoliopsida, Malpighiales, Euphorbiaceae. The record is from RefSeq and is a predicted model, not a curated record.